UACGGAGGGUGCAAGCGUUAUCCGGAUUUAUUGGGUUUAAAGGGUGCGUAGGCGGUUUAUUAAGUCAGUGGUGAAAGCCCGUCGCUUAACGGCGGAACUGCCAUUGAUACUGCUAGUCUUGAGUAUGGUUGAGGUGGGCGGAAUGUGUCAUGUAGCGGUGAAAUGCUUAGAUAUGACCCAGAACACCAAUUGCGAAGGCAGCUCGCUAAGCCAUAACUGACGCUGAGGCACGAAAGCGUGGGGAGCAAACAGG
Molecule: ribosomal RNA, 253 nt
Filed under: uncultured bacterium
Lineage: Bacteria
Description: partial 16S ribosomal RNA
Rfam family: Bacterial small subunit ribosomal RNA
Source: RNAcentral